CUGCAGCUCAAGUGGUGAUCAUUAUUAUUGGGCCUAAAACGUCCGUAGCCGGUUUAGUAAAUGCCUGGGUAAAUCGUGUAGCUUAACUAUACGACUUCCGGGUAGACUGCUAAACUUGAGACCGGGAGAGGCUAGAGGUACUCCUGGGGUAGAGGUGAAAUUCUGUAAUCCUAGGGGGACCACCAGUGGCGAAGGCGUCUAGCUAGAACGGGUCUGACGGUGAGGGGCGAAGCCCUGGGGCGCAAACCGGAUUAGAUACCCGAGUAGUCC
This 270-nucleotide ribosomal RNA is filed under the name uncultured archaeon. Its description in RNAcentral is "partial 16S ribosomal RNA". It matches the Rfam family "Archaeal small subunit ribosomal RNA", at positions 477 to 747 of the family's 1478-position model. The record is from RNAcentral.